GCAUCCGUAGCUCAGUUUGGAUAGAGCACAAGUUUCCUAAACCUGGGGUCGGGAGUUCGAAUCUCUUCGGGUGCGCCA
RNAcentral lists this transfer RNA (78 nucleotides) under Bacilli bacterium. Its description in RNAcentral is "tRNA-Arg". It matches the Rfam family "tRNA". From Rfam's summary of the family: Transfer RNA (tRNA) molecules are approximately 80 nucleotides in length. Their secondary structure includes four short double-helical elements and three loops (D, anti-codon, and T loops). Further hydrogen bonds mediate the characteristic L-shaped molecular structure. tRNAs have two regions of fundamental functional importance: the anti-codon, which is responsible for specific mRNA codon recognition, and the 3' end, to which the tRNAs corresponding amino acid is attached (by aminoacyl-tRNA synthetases). tRNAs cope with the degeneracy of the genetic code in two manners: having more than one tRNA (with a specific anti-codon) for a particular amino acid; and 'wobble' base-pairing, i.e. permitting non-standard base-pairing at the 3rd anti-codon position. Lineage: Bacteria; Bacillati; Bacillota; Bacilli. The record is from RNAcentral.